Molecule: ribosomal RNA, 253 nt
Filed under: uncultured bacterium
Lineage: Bacteria
Description: partial 16S ribosomal RNA
Rfam family: Bacterial small subunit ribosomal RNA
Source: RNAcentral
UACAGGGGGGGCAAGCGUUGUCCGGAAUUACUGGGCGUAAAGGGCUCGUAGGUGGCCAACUAAGUCAGACGUGAAAUCCCUCAGCUUAACUGGGGAACUGCGUCUGAUACUGGAUGGCUUGAGUUUGGGAGAGGGAUGCGGAAUUCCAGGUGUAGCGGUGAAAUGCGUAGAUAUCUGGAGGAACACCGGUGGCGAAGGCGGCAUCCUGGACCAACACUGACACUGAGGAGCGAAAGCCAGGGGAGCAAACGGG